GCCCCUAUAGCUCAGCUGGUAGAGCAACUGAUUUGUAAUCAGUAGGUCGUUCGUUCGAAUCGGACUGGGGGCACCA
RNAcentral lists this transfer RNA (76 nucleotides) under Hyphomicrobiales bacterium. RNAcentral describes it as "Rhizobiales bacterium (seawater metagenome) tRNA-Thr". It matches the Rfam family "tRNA". Rfam says of the family: Transfer RNA (tRNA) molecules are approximately 80 nucleotides in length. Their secondary structure includes four short double-helical elements and three loops (D, anti-codon, and T loops). Further hydrogen bonds mediate the characteristic L-shaped molecular structure. tRNAs have two regions of fundamental functional importance: the anti-codon, which is responsible for specific mRNA codon recognition, and the 3' end, to which the tRNAs corresponding amino acid is attached (by aminoacyl-tRNA synthetases). tRNAs cope with the degeneracy of the genetic code in two manners: having more than one tRNA (with a specific anti-codon) for a particular amino acid; and 'wobble' base-pairing, i.e. permitting non-standard base-pairing at the 3rd anti-codon position. The record is from RNAcentral. Lineage: Bacteria; Pseudomonadati; Pseudomonadota; Alphaproteobacteria; Hyphomicrobiales. RNAcentral also lists the same sequence under 3 other names.